Molecule: ribosomal RNA, 460 nt
Filed under: uncultured bacterium
Lineage: Bacteria
Description: partial 16S ribosomal RNA
Rfam family: Bacterial small subunit ribosomal RNA
Source: RNAcentral
ACUACGGGCGGCAGCAGUGAGGAAUAUUGGUCAAUGGGCGGAAGCCUGAACCAGCCAAGUCGCGUGAGGGAUUAAGGCCCUGCGGGUCGUAAACCUCUUUUGCCGGGGAGCAGAGGUCCGGACGUGUCCGGGCCGGGAGAGUACCCGGAGAAAAAGCAUCGGCUAACCCCGUGCCAGCAGCCGCGGUAAUACGGAGGAUGCGAGGGUUAUCGGGAUUUAUUGGGUUAAAAGGGUGCGUAGGCGGGCAUUAAGGCAGGCGGUAAAAUGUCGGGGCUAAACCGCGGCAUGCCGUGGAAACUGGGUGCCUUGAGUGGGCGAGAGGUAGGCGGAAUGGGUGGUGUAGCGGUGAAAUGCAUAGAUAUCACGCAGAACCCCGAUUGCGAAGGCAGCAUACCGGCGCCCUACUGACGCUGAGGCACGAAAGUGCGGGUAUCGAACAGGAUUAGAUACCCCGGUAGUC